This is a ribozyme of Capra hircus (goat), 282 nucleotides long. It matches the Rfam family "RNase MRP". Rfam says of the family: RNase MRP is an enzymatically active ribonucleoprotein with two distinct roles in eukaryotes. NCBI's taxonomy places the organism in Eukaryota, Metazoa, Chordata, Mammalia, Artiodactyla, Bovidae. The record is from Ensembl.
GUUCGUGCUGAAGGCCUGUUUCCUAGGCUACACACGGAGGACUAGUUCCUUGUUUGCGCCUAGGGGAAAGUCCCCGGACCUUGGGCAGAGAGUGCCACGUGCCUACCCUGCACGUAGACUUCCCCCGCUUCUCACGACUAAGUCCGCCAAGAAGCGAUCCUACCCUGGGGGUAGGGAAGCCGAGCGGCGUGUUGCGGGUGUGUCAUCCGUCAGCUUCUAACAGUUACGCAGGCAGUGCGCCUCCACGCGCACCAACCUCACGGGGCUCAUUCUCAGCACGGC